Molecule: ribosomal RNA, 1082 nt
Filed under: Clostridioides difficile
Lineage: Bacteria; Bacillati; Bacillota; Clostridia; Peptostreptococcales; Peptostreptococcaceae
Description: bacterial LSU rRNA
Rfam family: Bacterial large subunit ribosomal RNA
Source: RNAcentral
AUGUAUAGGAGCUGACGCCUGCCCGGUGCUGGAAGGUUAAGGGGAUCUGUUAGAGUAAUCGAAGCAGUGAACUUAAGCCCCAGUAAACGGCGGCCGUAACUAUAACGGUCCUAAGGUAGCGAAAUUCCUUGUCGGGUAAGUUCCGACCCGCACGAAAGGCGUAACGAUUUGGGCACUGUCUCAACAACAGACUCGGUGAAAUUGUAAUUCCGGUGAAGAUGCCGGAUACCUGCGACAGGACGGAAAGACCCCAUGGAGCUUUACUGUAGCUUGACAUUGGGUCUUGGUACUACAUGUACAGGAUAGGUGGGAGGCUUUGAAACCAGGACGCCAGUUUUGGCGGAGCCAUCCUUGGGAUACCACCCUUGUAGUACUGGGACUCUAACCAUAGGCCAUGAAUCUGGUCUUGGGACACUGUCAGGUGGGCAGUUUGACUGGGGCGGUCGCCUCCCAAAAGGUAACGGAGGCGCUCAAAGGUUCUCUCAGUACGGUCGGAAAUCGUACGUAGAGUGUAAAGGCAAAAGAGAGCUUGAUUGCAAGACAUACAGGUCGAGCAAGGAUGAAAAUCGGACUUAGUGAUCCGGUGGUUCUGCGUGGAAGGGCCAUCGCUCAACGGAUAAAAGCUACCCUGGGGAUAACAGGCUUAUCUCCCCCAAGAGUCCACAUCGACGGGGAGGUUUGGCACCUCGAUGUCGGCUCAUCACAUCCUGGGGCUGUAGUAGGUCCCAAGGGUUGGGCUGUUCGCCCAUUAAAGUGGUACGCGAGCUGGGUUCAGAACGUCGUGAGACAGUUCGGUCCCUAUCCGUCGCAGGCGUAGGAAAUUUGAGAAGACCUGUCCUUAGUACGAGAGGACCGGGAUGGACGUACCUCUGGUGUACCAGUUGUCCUGCCAAGGGCAUGGCUGGGUAGCUAUGUACGGAAUGGAUAAGCGCUGAAAGCAUCUAAGCGCGAAGCCAACUUCAAGAUAAGAUUUCCCACCGCAAGGGUAAGACCCCAGAAAGACUAUCUGGUUGAUAGGUCGAAGGUGUAAGUGCAGCAAUGUAUUUAGCUUAUCGAUACUAAUAGGUCGAGGACUUGACCAA